This 220-nucleotide unclassified non-coding RNA is filed under the name Cyperus cyperoides. Lineage: Eukaryota; Viridiplantae; Streptophyta; Magnoliopsida; Poales; Cyperaceae. The record is from RNAcentral.
GCCCAUCGACGCUCGGUCACCCGACCGCACGCGGACAGUGGCCCUCCGAGCCGCAGAGGCACGGCGGGCUGAAGUGCGAGGCCGUCGACCGCGUCGGGAGCGGCAAGUGGUGGGCUACAGCGCAUGCCGACCCCCGACCCGCGUCGACACCCGGCCCUUACCGACCCCACGACGAGGAGACCGUCGCCGCGGCGUCCCAGCCGCGCGGCGCCUUCGGACC